ACGAAAACGAUUGUACUGGCAACAGUUAGGUUUUUCCAGUUUUUUACGUGACAUAUGUGGGCGCAUAACAUGUUUCUUUCCACAUUAAUGCUAGCUUUCAGAAAAUAAUCAAUAUGGAUAAUUCCUGGUUUAGUUUAGAUGUUUACGUAUCAGGUCUGUAUCUAUGAGAGUGGAGUAGGGCGCUGUUGUGUUUGAACCAUGAGCACGGAAGAAAGGCUGAGAAGAAAAGUAAUUGAACUGGCUUGUCAACACUACGCAUCCCCUGUCAAAGUGGCGAGGCAGGUUUGCUCAUUGAAAGAAGCAAAUAUUGAGAAAGGGAUGAAACGGUUCCUAAGAGCUUCGCAGCACCGCAGUUCACUGCCCGAAACCCAUCCCAUCAGUCAGCUGACUAAAGGUGCUUCACUCUGGCUGAUGGUCUCUGCGGUCUCGAAUGCUGAGUCACAGAAGCAGGAAUUCCUUGUGCGCCCUCUGCUGGUGGCUUGGCGCGACUACAUCUCGAUGGUGGCUGCGAGGCGGAGACAGAGAGCCGCUUCGGUUGGCAGGUCUUCCCGGCUGAUCUCGUUCCCGUCCAGCCUCAGCACCUUCAGGCUCCAGCACCCCCCACGACCCUGCUCAGGAUAAGCGGGUAUAGAUAAUGGAUGGAUGGACGUCUUUUCUGUGUGCACUAGAUGCAAGAGUACAUUACCACGACUAAGUUAGGGAGGAUGAGCAGCUCCCUCCACUGGGGUUAUGAAGACAGAAGGCAGACUGCUGAGCUGGUGACAGACUAAGAGCUCCUCUGAGGGGCAGGAGGACCUUCACCCUGUGAGGGCCCCAGAACAGCAGCUCCAUUGUGUGGCCCUGCCCCCAUGGGGGCCCCAUGCGGGACCCCCAACGCAAAGCAGAUGUCUUCCUCCUUCUUUUCUUGGUCAUGUGAAACAUGAGCAUUUAAAUGGCAUGUUGCCUGAGUGCCAUGGCAUCUCCAUGACCUCAUAGGGUUUCUGGGGACUGGAACCGAACAGAGUGUGAUGGGAGGCCCUGGGGAUGCCUGAGCUCAUAGUGCAGUGGGAAAGCAGAGAGAAGCUUGCACUGUGUGUCUCCACGGGAACCCAUUAUUUACAGGCGGUGGCACAAGAAGAGACCCCAGAGCUGCUAAGAGUGUCCAUGGAUAGGACAUCAUCGGAAUGUGCUGUGCUGCAUUUCAGUGAUGCACAGUAUGUAGGUGAUGAUCACCUUUGCUGAAAGUUGUUAUAUCAGCCUUCCAGGGUACAUAUUGGAGGGAAGAACCACUUCUACAUUUCACUUCUGCCCUGUUUCUUGACUGGAGGUUUGAUUCUGUUCCUCAGCUGUGGGGGUUUGAUUCUGUUCUUUAGCAAUGAGGACCAAAUAAAUUGAAUAGUCUCAGCUUAAAAAAUGUAAUCAAAAUGUAUACCUUAGAAAUAUAUAGUAUAACAGUAAUAUACAGUUUAACUCAAAGACCAGUAAAUACUAGACCAUAUUCUCUUUUAUGGACCUAUUAUCCUCCGUAGUAUAGUUUGCAUUUUAAAACAAUUCAUUUCGGUGAGGUCGUGAAAAUGAAUGGGAGUGAAUUGGGAGCUGGAAAACUGGGAGGAAUGGUGCUGCCAUUAACUGUCAAUAGGGACAUUUGAUGUUGGUAUUCACGCUAUAAAAAUACAAUGGGGCAAGGUCCAGAAAAUUACUUGUGU
This is a long non-coding RNA of Anguilla anguilla (European eel), 1685 nucleotides long. RefSeq lists it as uncharacterized. The record is from RefSeq and is a predicted model, not a curated record. NCBI's taxonomy places the organism in Eukaryota, Metazoa, Chordata, Actinopteri, Anguilliformes, Anguillidae. The transcript has 6 exons.